UGAAGAAUGUGGGAUUUCCUAAUCUUACAGAAACCUUACACCUUUCUAUGAAAGCCACAUGUGCACAGUGUCCACAGUAGAUUAAAAUUACAGAAGAAACUUGAAGG
Diceros bicornis minor is the source of this 107-nucleotide long non-coding RNA. RefSeq lists it as uncharacterized. The transcript has 3 exons. NCBI's taxonomy places the organism in Eukaryota, Metazoa, Chordata, Mammalia, Perissodactyla, Rhinocerotidae. The record is from RefSeq and is a predicted model, not a curated record.